CUUUACACAUGCAAGUCGAACGGCAGCAUAGAGAGCUUGCUCUCUGAUGGCGAGUGGCGAACGGGUGAGUAAUAUAUCGGAACGUGCCCAGUAAUGGGAAAUAACUAGCCAAAGGUUAGCUAAUACCGCAUACGACCUACGGGUGAAACAUGGGAUCUUAGACCUUGCGUUAUUUGGAGCGGCCCGAUAUCUGAUUAGCUUGUUGGUGGGGUAAAAAGCCUACCAAGGCAACGAUCAGUAGCUGGUCUGAGAGACCGAUCACCCCCCUGGACCUGAAACCACGGUCCAAACUCCUCCGGGAGGCACAA
RNAcentral lists this ribosomal RNA (308 nucleotides) under uncultured beta proteobacterium. Its description in RNAcentral is "bacterial SSU rRNA". It matches the Rfam family "Bacterial small subunit ribosomal RNA", at positions 47 to 353 of the family's 1533-position model. The record is from RNAcentral. Lineage: Bacteria; Pseudomonadati; Pseudomonadota; Betaproteobacteria.